AUUGAACGCUGGCGGCAGGCUUAACACAUGCAAGACGAGCGGGGAAAGGUAGCUUGCUACCUGACCUAGCGGCGGACGGGUGAGUAAUGCUUAGGAAUCUGCCUAUUAGUGGGGGACAACAUUCCGAAAGGAAUGCUAAUACCGCAUACGCCCUACGGGGGAAAGCAGGGGAUCUUCGGACCUUGCGCUAAUAGAUGAGCCUACGUCAGAUUAGCUAGUUGGUGGGGUAAAGGCCUACCAAGGCGACGAGCUGUAGCGGGUCUGAGAGGAUGAUCCGCCACACUGGGACUGAGACACGGCCCAGACUCCUACGGGAGGCAGCAGUGGGGAAUAUUGGACAAUGGGCGAAAGCCUGAUCCAGCCAUGCCGCGUGUGUGAAGAAGGCCUUUUGGUUGUAAAGCACUUUAAGCGAGGAGGAGGCUACUUGGAUUAAUACUCUAGGAUAGUGGACGUUACUCGCAGAAUAAGCACCGGCUAACUCUGUGCCAGCAGCCGCAGUAA
This 501-nucleotide ribosomal RNA is filed under the name uncultured bacterium. RNAcentral describes it as "partial 16S ribosomal RNA". It matches the Rfam family "Bacterial small subunit ribosomal RNA", at positions 30 to 523 of the family's 1533-position model. The record is from RNAcentral.